RNAcentral lists this unclassified non-coding RNA (200 nucleotides) under soil metagenome. Its description in RNAcentral is "partial contains internal transcribed spacer 2 and large subunit ribosomal RNA". The record is from RNAcentral.
GGUCUGCUCCUCUCAAACGAAUCAGCUUGCCGGUGUUUGGCGGCAACCGUGGGUGUGAUAACUAUCUACGCUCGUGGUUUUCUGCCAGGUAACCUUCGGUGACGGAGGUUCGCCAGAGCUUAUAAACGUCCCUCCCGAGCGAGGACAAGGUUCUUCGAACGUUCGAUCUCAAAUCAGGUAGGAAUACCCGCUGAACUUAA